AUAUAGGACAAUGGGGGCAAACUUGAUCCAGCCAUGUUGCGUGUGUGAAGUAGUUCUUCGGAUUGUAAAGUACUUUAAGUUGAGAGGAAGGGUAGUAAGUUAAUGCCUUGUUGAUUUGUCGAUAUUGAAAGAAUAAGCAAUGGCUAACUUCGUGCAAGCAGCCGCGGUAAUACGAAGGGUGCAAGCGUUAAUCGGAAUUACUGGGCGUAAAGCGCGCGUAGGUGGUUUGUUAAGUUGGAAGUGAAAGCCCCGGGCUCAACCUGGGAACUGCUUUCAUAACUGCUGAGCUAGAGUACGGUAGAGGGUAGUGAAAUUUCCUGUGUAGCGGUGAAAUGCGUAGAUAUAGGAAGGAACACCAGUGGCGAAGGCGACUACCUGGACUGAUACUGACACUGAGGUGCGAAAGCGUGGGAAGCAAAC
This 420-nucleotide ribosomal RNA is filed under the name uncultured bacterium. RNAcentral describes it as "partial 16S ribosomal RNA". It matches the Rfam family "Bacterial small subunit ribosomal RNA", at positions 361 to 773 of the family's 1533-position model. The record is from RNAcentral.